This 64-nucleotide transfer RNA is filed under the name Cavia porcellus (domestic guinea pig). It matches the Rfam family "tRNA". From Rfam's summary of the family: Transfer RNA (tRNA) molecules are approximately 80 nucleotides in length. Their secondary structure includes four short double-helical elements and three loops (D, anti-codon, and T loops). The record is from Rfam by way of RNAcentral. Lineage: Eukaryota; Metazoa; Chordata; Mammalia; Rodentia; Caviidae.
GGGGAUUUAGCUCAGCGGCAUAAGCACCUGCCUUGCAAGCAGGCGGUUGUGAGUUUAAUCCCUG